GGUGGCUCAGUGGUAGAGUGCUUGCUUCACAUGCAAGAGGCCCUGGGUUCGAUUCCUCAGCACCA
Molecule: transfer RNA, 65 nt
Filed under: Dipodomys ordii (Ord's kangaroo rat)
Lineage: Eukaryota; Metazoa; Chordata; Mammalia; Rodentia; Heteromyidae
Rfam family: tRNA
About the family: Transfer RNA (tRNA) molecules are approximately 80 nucleotides in length.
Source: Rfam by way of RNAcentral